UUAGGCCACAAAUAGGGAAUCAAAGUUUUAUGUGCAAGUAUACAGGGGGAAAAAAUUCCCUAAGCACCACUUUGCCAGGAAAGUAGAAAUUCAUAUGAAAGCUUUCUGCCAUUGUGCAGGUUCAAGUUUGUUAAAACCAUGGCCCCAGGGGUAGGAAUGGGCCACAAUACGGGAUCAAAGUAUAUAGAGAAAAUCAUUAAAAAAUCUUCUUCUCAAGAACCACUGCACUAUGAAUAUUGGCAUUUAUAUGAAAGGUUUCUGACAUAGUGCAGAUUCAAGUCUGUAAAAAUAAUGUUCCCCGGGGUAAGUUUGGGCCACAAUAGGAUCAAAGUAUGGAGGGAAAAUCUUCAAAAAUGGGACAAGAUGACUCAGGUGAGCGAUGUGGCCCAUGGGCCUCUUGUUAAAUAUGUGAUAUUUGAUUGUUUUUUCAUGUAACUUAUUAGUACAUGUACCAAUAAAUAGUACCAUUCCCAAUGCACUAAAAUGUUGAUUUUUCCUAAUUUUGACACUAAAAAUCCCAAUUCAGUUCCCCUGACUUAAGGUAGCUCUUUACACUAAAGCUUAUACUAUUUAUUACACUACUCACGAGAUGGCAAUUUAAAUGUUUUGUAAAUUUAUUUGUAUCAAUCGAUUCGUUUGUCUAUUACCAUAGCUCGGUGGUUAAAGCAUUGGUCUGGUGAACCGCAGAUCUCGAGUUCAAAUCUGCCAGAGUCUUUUGUUCAUAUGUGUUGAAAUCAUGUUUUUGAAAAUCAUGUUUUUAUCCAAAUUUGCUUAUUAUCUGCUGUUUUGGCAUAUAUAUUUAUUAUACAUCAUCAAAUCUUUUGUGAUUAAAUCAAUUCAUACUGAUUUGAGAAACUAUUUCAAGGUGUAGUGAGCCACCUUAAUAUUAUUCUUAUAGGAUGAAAUGUACAAAUUCACUUGUUGUUUUUUUUGUUUUUUUUUUUUUUUUUGUUUUUUGUUUUUUUUUUUUGUUUUUUGCUUUCUUUUGAUUUGUACAGAUCAGUCUUAAUAUUGCAAGGCAUGUUGUAGUCAGCCUAUUAUCUGACAUUGACAACUUAAAAAUGUGAGAACUAAAGAUAAUACUGUUUAAUGAUUUGAAACAAUGUAAACUUUGUAAUGGAGAACCACUGGAAGCUAAUACUUAGUAUAAAGAUGAGCUUAGGGUGUGUUAUAACCUUGUUCAAGGUCAUUCCGGCAAGUUCAAGUUCAGUAGCAGAAAAGUAUUAACACAAUUAUUUUUUGAUCAAUAACUUUAGAUUGAGAAUCAUUGGAAGCUCAUACAUGGUUUUAAGAUUUUUUAUGACCUAAGGGUGUAUCAUGACCUUGGCCCAGGAUCAUAAGAACAAGUUUAAGGUCACUGGCAGAAAAUUUCAAAAUUCAUGAUAGGUCUAUAAUAUUCUAAUAGAAAAUGAUUGGGUGUUCAUAUUUCUCUCAAAGAUUAGUUUUGACCAGGGGACAUACAUGUAUGACUGGGACUUCGAUUGAGCUAUAUGAGUUUCAUAGCAUUGUGUUUUGUCUUUCAGGUAGUUCAUGUAGAUUCUGACAAGGCCAUAGAGAAGGAACUGGAGAAAGGUAAGCACUUGCUUAAUAGUUUAAAUGCAAAUUGAUUUUAAUUGGGAAUUGUUAAAUUAUUUUCUUCUCAGUGUGGCCUUUUAGAGGUAUUAUACUCAUAUUAGAUUGAUAGAAAUACCCAAUAUACACUUUAGUAUUUACCUUUUUUGUGGUCUACCUUAUGCCCAUUUAUUGGCAGUCUCCUUAAUGACUGUAUCAAAGUACUGAUUGCUAUAGGAGAUAAAGAGCAGACAUAUUAUCCCUGAACAUUAUAAUACUUUAAAAUAUUUAUAGUUUUAACUAUGGCCUUCUAUGAAAUGCCAAAUCAUUGCAGUAACCUCAUUAUCUGUCUGUUCUUUCACUCAUUUGUAAGUCUGUCUGUCUGUCUGCAAAAAGAAGAAUUAUGUGAUGUCAUAACCCAUAUAGGUCAUAGGAAGAAGUUGAGGUUAUAUCACUUUGUCUGAUAAUUGACCAUCAAACCUUUAGAUACGAUGUUAUAAUAGUUUGCUUGCUUUGCAACUCGUUCAUAUCUUAUACAAAUGAUGCUGACCUAAGUAGAAGGAAGUCUCCCACGAAUGUUUUAGUUUUAUCGCAUUGUCAUUGGGACAUAUUCAUCUCCAAUUAACCCAGUUACUUAUUCAUCUCCAAUGAUAUUAAUGUAACAGGAAGGGAGAAAAUGCAACGAACCAGACCGGGAUUUGAACCCGGGCCCCCUGAAUCUCUAGUCAGGUGCUCUACCAACUAAGCUAUCUAGCCACUGGCGAUCGAACCUGGCUGACCGCUACAAUAAUAUACAUAUAAUAAAUUCAUGAAUACAUGGUUUUAGUUUUCCAUUUUAUGCCAUCAACAUUUUUUUUUUUGCAGAUGCUACCAGACUGGGUGGUAUAACUGAUUGCAUUUCCAGCUUGACUAAUGAUUCUGUUUUUUCUGAGAUUGUAGACACCAAGGAGAUGCUGCAAAUUAAGACAGAUCCAGUUUUGAAAAAGAAAAAUUGAAAUGGUCUAAAGAAGACACUGCAUUUUUGACCAAUUAAUUUAAAAAAUAUGUCCAGACUAAAUGUGCUGCCAGGCAAUUACAAAAUAAAGGAUACCUUCUAAGCAAGAAAGAAAUAAGAGAUUUUAUGGAAGCCCAUAUUCUGACAUCCAUAUGCCAUCUUUCGAUGAACGAACAGUAUCUCAAAAUACGAACAAAGUUAUUCAAUGAAAGGAAAACAAUUUGAACAAAUGACAAUGAAAAGUUGAAACAAAUGGAAGUAGAAGAAGAUUGUCACUCACUUAAAAUUCUUAGUUCAUCAUACAUUCCUUCAUGUAUAUACAUGAAAAUAUUGUGUAUCAAGUCUUAGCUCACUGUGAUUUAUUGCUAAUGCUAAAUUAAUGAAUCAUAUAACAGAGAUUAUAUAAAUUUAGUAGACAAUGAGAA
Long non-coding RNA from Ostrea edulis (European flat oyster), 2970 nucleotides. RefSeq lists it as uncharacterized. The transcript has 4 exons. The record is from RefSeq and is a predicted model, not a curated record. NCBI's taxonomy places the organism in Eukaryota, Metazoa, Mollusca, Bivalvia, Ostreida, Ostreidae.